CUGUGAAGCUGAGAGAGAGAGAGGGGGGGAGAGAAAACCAGAGCGCACAAGAGAGAGCAUCUUUCUUUCUUUCUCUCUCUCUCUCCCUCCCCUCCUCCUCUUCUUCUUCUUUCC
Molecule: non-coding RNA, 114 nt
Organism: Podarcis lilfordi (Lilford's wall lizard)
Lineage: Eukaryota; Metazoa; Chordata; Lepidosauria; Squamata; Lacertidae
Source: the annotation of a GenBank genome assembly